This 253-nucleotide ribosomal RNA is filed under the name uncultured bacterium. RNAcentral describes it as "partial 16S ribosomal RNA". It matches the Rfam family "Bacterial small subunit ribosomal RNA", at positions 524 to 776 of the family's 1533-position model. The record is from RNAcentral.
UACGUAGGGAGCAAGCGUUGUCCGGAAUCAUUGGGCUUAAAGCGCGCGUAUGUGGCCUCGUAAGUCCGCUGUGAAAGUCAAAGGCUCAACCUUUGAAAGCCGGUGGAUACUGUGGGGCUAGAGUACGGAAGAGGCGAGUGGAAUUCCUGGUGUAGCGGUGGAAUGCGCAGAUAUCAGGAGGAACACCAAUAGCGAAGGCAGCUCGCUGGGACGUUACUGACACUGAGGCGCGACAGCGUGGGGAGCAAACAGG